UUAUUUUUAUCCAUUUUAUGAUGUGUUAGUUUUAGAGUGAAAAGGAUCAUUUUUUGAAAGUAUCAGACAGACUGAUAUUCACUAGACACACCAAGUCAAACUAGAGAACUAAGUUGUAGUAUUCUGUGCAGUAUAAGCCUUGCCUGUCGAGUUAUUACAUCCUUAGUCUACUCUGUUAUCUAGAGCUGGCUCCCUUGUUAACUUGAACUGAUUAUUGACCCAGUCCAGUGGUCAUCUCAAGUGCCAGCUGGCUCUGGCCUUUAUCUCCUGUCUGUCUGACCUGAGGUCAAGGAGACCACUAGUUAUAUAUUGUAGCCUCUAUGAGAAAGGAUCUAAAAGUGUUUUUUUUUCUCUCUUUUUUUUUUCUCCUGUGGUUAUAUG
Molecule: non-coding RNA, 381 nt
Organism: Biomphalaria pfeifferi
Lineage: Eukaryota; Metazoa; Mollusca; Gastropoda; Planorbidae
Source: the annotation of a GenBank genome assembly